GAACUAAUCUUUACCCUUGGAACACAUGCUGGGAGGUUAGACCGUUUCCAUCCACAGGCCGUUUAAAUACAAUUCAUUUCCAGUAUUUUUGAAACUGGUGGAAGUUAUAAGCAUUGGAAUUUUGAAGGAGGGAGACGUCUUUGUCAUUUCUUUAUAUCUUUCUCAUUCUGUAUUUGGCAGCAUUAGUGCUUCAAUAGCAAUCGAGCUAUACAGUGUUAAAUCGUUACAAAAGUGAAAAGUGAGGUUAGUUUGUAGCGUGACACGUGGCGUGAUCGGUUUUCGAAGAUGGAACAGAUAAUCUCAUAUGCUAUUGGGGCUACAGACAAGGGAUGGAUUGUAGAAGAUUUUGGUAUAGGAGUCGUUGUGAAAACAAAAAAAUUUUGACGAUAACAAAAACAAAAGUAAAGAUAA
Molecule: non-coding RNA, 411 nt
Organism: Nylanderia fulva
Lineage: Eukaryota; Metazoa; Arthropoda; Insecta; Hymenoptera; Formicidae
Source: RefSeq, a predicted model, not a curated record